Coprobacillus sp. is the source of this 173-nucleotide regulatory RNA element. It matches the Rfam family "Lysine riboswitch aptamer". Rfam says of the family: Riboswitches are metabolite binding domains within certain messenger RNAs that serve as precision sensors for their corresponding targets. Allosteric rearrangement of mRNA structure is mediated by ligand binding, and this results in modulation of gene expression. The record is from Rfam. Lineage: Bacteria; Bacillati; Bacillota; Erysipelotrichia; Erysipelotrichales; Coprobacillaceae.
UGUCAAGAUAGAGGCGCAAAAGUCAAAAAUUCUUCAUUCAAAAGAUGCAACUGUGAAGAAGGCGGGGCGAUUGCCGAAGGAGUAAUGAUUUGCAUGUUAUUAUUUCCUGGGAGUAUAGAGAAUAUCUAUGCUACUGUCACUUUAUAAUAUUAAAGUGGGGUGCUAUUGCGUUG